RNAcentral lists this ribosomal RNA (253 nucleotides) under uncultured bacterium. Its description in RNAcentral is "partial 16S ribosomal RNA". It matches the Rfam family "Bacterial small subunit ribosomal RNA", at positions 524 to 776 of the family's 1533-position model. The record is from RNAcentral.
UACGUAGGCAGCGAGCGUUGUUCGGAAUUACUGGGCGUAAAGAGUGUGUAGGCGGUGUUCCCAGUCUGUUGUGAAAUCUCCCGGCUUAACUGGGAGGGUGCAGCGGAAACUAGAAUGCUAGAGGGUGGGAGAGGUAAGCGGAAUACCUGGUGUAGAGGUGAAAUUCGUAGAUAUCAGGUGGAACACCAGUGGCGAAGGCGGCUUUCUGGACGGUAACUGACGCUGAGACGCGAAAGCGUGGGGAGCAAACAGG